Molecule: ribosomal RNA, 446 nt
Filed under: Bifidobacterium longum
Lineage: Bacteria; Bacillati; Actinomycetota; Actinomycetes; Bifidobacteriales; Bifidobacteriaceae
Description: bacterial SSU rRNA
Rfam family: Bacterial small subunit ribosomal RNA
Source: RNAcentral
CGCGGUAUGGGAUGGGGUCGCGUCCUAUCAGCUUGACGGCGGGGUAACGGCCCACCGUGGCUUCGACGGGUAGCCGGCCUGAGAGGGCGACCGGCCACAUUGGGACUGAGAUACGGCCCAGACUCCUACGGGAGGCAGCAGUGGGGAAUAUUGCACAAUGGGCGCAAGCCUGAUGCAGCGACGCCGCGUGAGGGAUGGAGGCCUUCGGGUUGUAAACCUCUUUUAUCGGGGAGCAAGCGAGAGUGAGUUUACCCGUUGAAUAAGCACCGGCUAACUACGUGCCAGCAGCCGCGGUAAUACGUAGGGUGCAAGCGUUAUCCGGAAUUAUUGGGCGUAAAGGGCUCGUAGGCGGUUCGUCGCGUCCGGUGUGAAAGUCCAUCGCUUAACGGUGGAUCCGCGCCGGGUACGGGCGGGCUUGAGUGCGGUAGGGGAGACUGGAAUUCCCG